RNAcentral lists this ribosomal RNA (427 nucleotides) under uncultured prokaryote. RNAcentral describes it as "bacterial SSU rRNA". It matches the Rfam family "Bacterial small subunit ribosomal RNA", at positions 355 to 774 of the family's 1533-position model. The record is from RNAcentral.
UAGGGAAUCUUCGGCAAUGGACGAAAGUCUGACCGAGCAACGCCGCGUGAGUGAAGAAGGUUUUCGGAUCGUAAAACUCUGUUGUUAGAGAAGAACGUUGCAUAGAGUGGAAAAUUAUGCAAGUGACGGUAUCUAACCAGAAAGGGACGGCUAACUACGUGCCAGCAGCCGCGGUAAUACGUAGGUCCCGAGCGUUGUCCGGAUUUAUUGGGCGUAAAGCGAGCGCAGGUGGUUUAAUAAGUCUGAUGUAAAAGGCAGUGGCUCAACCAUUGUGUGCAUUGGAAACUGGUAGACUUGAGUGCAGUAGAGGAGAGUGGAAUUCCAUGUGUAGCGGUGAAAUGCGUAGAUAUAUGGAGGAACACCGGUGGCGAAAGCGGCUCUCUGGACUGUCACUGACACUGAGGCUCGAAAGCGUGGGUAGCAAACA